GUGACUCACAACUCUCCAUGGAUGAGCCCACAAUUAUUUCUGCAAAUACCUCUCAGGUUAAGUGGAAUGACAGACCCAGACUAAUAAAACAGAAGAACAACGUGGGAGCUAUUGAGAAAGAGAAGAGGAACUGAGAUGACCACAGAGUCCUGGAAUGCAUUACCAACCCAAGUAUUAGAAAUUCAUUAUUUGAGUUGUGCCACAAAGUUCAGCUUAAGUGCUAUCUUCUUCCACAGCUAUUUCAGCCCAAAGGCUCUCCUUUCCUUCCCCAACCACAAGAAUAUUUCCUUGUGGGACAGAGUCAGUGGUUGGCACCCACAGAGGCAUGAGAGCCAGGCUGUC
Molecule: long non-coding RNA, 342 nt
Organism: Passer domesticus (house sparrow)
Lineage: Eukaryota; Metazoa; Chordata; Aves; Passeriformes; Passeridae
Exons: 3
Source: RefSeq, a predicted model, not a curated record